CUUGCUUCAAGAGUUCUAGCCUUUAGAACUCAACUAGCCACCAAUCGAUCAGAUCUUCCUUCAGAUCUAAGUUUGAAACUCUUAGAACCAUCCACUGGACCUGACCACCUUUUUCUGGACCUCUUAAACCCUUAGAGCUAUUAGGAUUAGGCUUGUCUUAAAAGAACAAGCCUUUGUCCUAAACCCUAGAGUUGUAAUAGAGGGAGAGAGAGAGUGGAUAGGGGAUGUAAGAAUUGAGUGAUCAAUCCAUCUGCCAUCCCCUAUUUAUAGCACCAGAUGGGGUGCCAACAGAGAAGGCAUGACUCAUCUGAAAAGUCAUAUUAGAUCCUCG
Molecule: long non-coding RNA, 331 nt
Filed under: Elaeis guineensis (African oil palm)
Lineage: Eukaryota; Viridiplantae; Streptophyta; Magnoliopsida; Arecales; Arecaceae
Description: long non-coding RNA (EGUI_LNC041368)
Source: RNAcentral